RNAcentral lists this long non-coding RNA (517 nucleotides) under Panax ginseng (ginseng). RNAcentral describes it as "long non-coding RNA (PGIN_LNC017461)". The record is from RNAcentral. Lineage: Eukaryota; Viridiplantae; Streptophyta; Magnoliopsida; Apiales; Araliaceae.
ACGGAUUCGUGUACCGUGAGCACCACCACUCACCGGGGUACUAUGACGGACGUUACUGGACAAUGUGGAAGCUGCCCAUGUUUGGAUGCACUGAUUCAUCUCAGGUGUUGAAAGAAGUAGAGGAGUGCAAGAAGGAGUACCCAAAUGCAUACAUCCGAAUUAUUGGAUUCGACAACGUCCGUCAAGUGCAGUGCAUCAGUUUCAUUGCCUUCAAGCCACCUUCUGCCUCUACCUAAUUAAUUAAUUAAGCAAGCUACAUUUAUUUAUUUCUGUAUCUUAAUUAAUUUCUCCUCCAUUUUUCCCAUCCAAUUGCAAAUUUACUGUUUUGAAUUCCUUUUCCUUUCCUGUCUGCUUCGAUUUCUGUUUGCGGAUUUCGAAUGACAAUCAUGUAUGAUGAGGAGAUUAUCAAGUAAUAAAAAUUUCUACGUCCAGAUAUAUAGAGGAAUCUCAACCAUGCAUACAUCUAAAUCUAAGUACUUGAGAUUUCCAUGCCAAUGAAUAUUUAUAUUUAGAGAGA